Molecule: ribosomal RNA, 497 nt
Filed under: uncultured bacterium
Lineage: Bacteria
Description: partial 16S ribosomal RNA
Rfam family: Bacterial small subunit ribosomal RNA
Source: RNAcentral
GAUGAACGCUGGCGGCGUGCCUAAUACAUGCAAGUCGAGCGAACGGACGAGAAGCUUGCUUCUCUGAUGUUAGCGGCGGACGGGUGAGUAACACGUGGAUAACCUACCUAUAAGACUGGGAUAACUUCGGGAAACCGUAGCUAAUACCGGAUAAUAUUUUGAACCGCAUGGUUCAAAAGUGAAAGACGGUCUUGCUGUCACUUAUAGAUGGAUCCGCGCUGCAUUAGCUAGUUGGUAAGGUAACGGCUUACCAAGGCAACGAUGCAUAGCCGACCUGAGAGGGUGAUCGGCCACACUGGAACUGAGACACGGUCCAGACUCCUACGGGAGGCAGCAGUAGGGAAUCUUCCGCAAUGGGCGAAAGCCUGACGCAGCAACGCCGCGUGAGUGAUGAAGGUCUUCGGAUCGUAAAACUCUGUUAUUAGGGAAGAACAUAUGUGUAAGUAACUGUGCACAUCUUGACGGUACCUAAUCAGAAAGCCACGGCUAACUACGUG